This 219-nucleotide ribosomal RNA is filed under the name uncultured Lactobacillus sp. RNAcentral describes it as "partial 16S ribosomal RNA". It matches the Rfam family "Bacterial small subunit ribosomal RNA", at positions 142 to 354 of the family's 1533-position model. Lineage: Bacteria; Bacillati; Bacillota; Bacilli; Lactobacillales; Lactobacillaceae. The record is from RNAcentral.
AGUAACACCUGGAAACAGAUGCUAAUACCGGAUAACAACAGAUGAUGCCUAUCAACUGUUUAAAGAUGGUUCUGCUAUCACUCUUGGAUGGACCUGCGGUGCAUUAGCUAGUUGGUAGGGUAACGGCCUACCAAGGCGAUGAUGCAUAGCCGAGUUGAGAGACUGAUCGGCCACAUUGGGACUGAGACACGGCCCAAACUCCUACGGGAGGCAGCAGAC